Molecule: ribosomal RNA, 870 nt
Filed under: Zarea fungicola
Lineage: Eukaryota; Fungi; Ascomycota; Sordariomycetes; Hypocreales; Cordycipitaceae
Description: partial large subunit ribosomal RNA
Rfam family: Eukaryotic large subunit ribosomal RNA
Source: RNAcentral
AAGCAUAUCAAUAAGCGGAGGAAAAGAAACCAACAGGGAUUGCCCCAGUAACGGCGAGUGAAGCGGCAACAGCUCAAAUUUGAAAUCUGGUCCCCAGGGCCCGAGUUGUAAUUUGUAGAGGAUGCUUUUGGCAAGGUGCCUUCCGAGUUCCCUGGAACGGGACGCCAUAGAGGGUGAGAGCCCCGUCUGGUCGGACACCGAGCCUCUGUAAAGCUCCUUCGACGAGUCGAGUAGUUUGGGAAUGCUGCUCAAAAUGGGAGGUAUAUGUCUUCUAAAGCUAAAUAUAGGCCAGAGACCGAUAGCGCACAAGUAGAGUGAUCGAAAGAUGAAAAGCACUUUGAAAAGAGGGUUAAAAAGUACGUGAAAUUGUUGAAAGGGAAGCGCUUAUGACCAGACUUGAGCCCGGUGAAUCAUCCAGCGUUCUCGCUGGUGCACUUUGCCGGGCACAGGCCAGCAUCAGUUUGGCGCGGGGGAUAAAGGCUUUGGGAAUGUGGCUCCCUCGGGAGUGUUAUAACCCAUUGCGUAAUACCCUGCGCUGGACUGAGGUACGCGCAUUCGUAAGGAUGCUGGCGUAAUGGUCAUCAGCGACCCGUCUUGAAACACGGACCAAGGAGUCGUCUUCGUAUGCGAGUGUUCGGGUGUUAAACCCCUACGCGUAAUGAAAGUGAACGCAGGUGAGAGCUUCGGCGCAUCAUCGACCGAUCCUGAUGUUCUCGGAUGGAUUUGAGUAAGAGCAUACGGGGCCGGACCCGAAAGAAGGUGAACUAUGCCUGUAUAGGGUGAAGCCAAGGAAACUCUGGUGGAGGCUCGCAGCGGUUCUGACGUGCGAAUCGAUCGUCAAAUAUGGGCAUGGGGCGAAAGACUAAUCGA